Molecule: ribosomal RNA, 447 nt
Filed under: uncultured bacterium
Lineage: Bacteria
Description: partial 16S ribosomal RNA
Rfam family: Bacterial small subunit ribosomal RNA
Source: RNAcentral
AGCGAACGCUGGCGGCAGGCUUAACACAUGCAAGUCGAACGCCCCGCAAGGGGAGUGGCAGACGGGUGAGUAACACGUGGGAACGUACCCUUUGGUUCGGAAUAACUUGGGGAAACUCAAGCUAAUACCGGAUAAGCCCUUAUGGGGAAAGGUUUACUGCCGAGGGAUCGGCCCGCGUCUGAUUAGCUAGUUGUUGCGGUAAUGGCUCACCAAGGCGACGAUCAGUAGCUGGUCUGAGAGGAUGAUCAGCCACACUGGGACUGAGACACGGCCCAGACUCCUACGGGAGGCAGCAGUGGGGAAUAUUGGACAAUGGGGGCAACCCUGAUCCAGCCAUGCCGCGUGAGUGAUGAAGGCCUUAGGGUUGUAAAGCUCUGUUACCCGGGACGAUAAUGACUGUACCGGGAGAAUAAGCCCCGGCUAACUCCGUGCCAGCCGCCGCAGUAA